CCUACGUGAGGCUGCAGUAGGGAAUCUUCCACAAUGGGCGAAAGCCUGAUGGAGCAACGCCGCGUGGGUGAAGAAGGUCUUCGGAUCGUAAAACCCUGUUGUUAGAGAAGAAAGUGCGUGAGAGUAACUGUUCACGUUUCGACGGUAUCUAACCAGAAAGCCACGGCUAACUACGUGCCAGCAGCCGCGGUAAUACGUAGGAGGCAAGCGUUAUCCGGAUUUAUUGGGCGUAAAGGGAACGCAGGCGGUCUUUUAAGUCUGAUGUGAAAGCCUUCGGCUUAACCGGAGUAGUGCAUUGGAAACUGGGAGACUUGAGUGCAGAAGAGGAGAGUGGAACUCCAUGUGUAGCGGUGAAAUGCGUAGAUAUAUGGAAGAACACCAGUGGCGAAAGCGGCUCUCUGGUCUGUAACUGACGCUGAGGUUCGAAAGCGUGGGUAGCAAACAGGAUUAGAUACCCCAGUAGUC
This 465-nucleotide ribosomal RNA is filed under the name uncultured bacterium. RNAcentral describes it as "partial 16S ribosomal RNA". It matches the Rfam family "Bacterial small subunit ribosomal RNA", at positions 338 to 795 of the family's 1533-position model. The record is from RNAcentral.